RNAcentral lists this ribosomal RNA (492 nucleotides) under uncultured bacterium. Its description in RNAcentral is "partial 16S ribosomal RNA". It matches the Rfam family "Bacterial small subunit ribosomal RNA", at positions 29 to 507 of the family's 1533-position model. The record is from RNAcentral.
AGUGAACGCUGGCGGUAGGCCUAACACAUGCAAGUCGAACGGCAGCACAGUAAGAGCUUGCUCUUACGGGUGGCGAGUGGCGGACGGGUGAGGAAUACAUCGGAAUCUACUUUUUCGUGGGGGAUAACGUAGGGAAACUUACGCUAAUACCGCAUACGACCUACGGGUGAAAGCAGGGGAUCUUCGGACCUUGCGCGAUUGAAUGAGCCGAUGUCGGAUUAGCUAGUUGGCGGGGUAAAGGCCCACCAAGGCGACGAUCCGUAGCUGGUCUGAGAGGAUGACCAGCACCACUGGAACUGAGACAGCGUCCAGCCUCCUGCGGGAGGCAGCAGUGGGGAAUAUUGGGCAAUGGGCGCAAGCCUGAUCCAGCCAGACCGCGUGGGUGAAGCAGGCCUUCGGGUUGUAAAGCCCUUUUGUUGGGAAAGAAAAGCAGCAGGUUAAUACCCCGCUGUUCUGACGGUACCCAAAGAAUAAGCACCGGCUAACUUCGUG